GACGAACGCUGGCGGCGUGCUUAACACAUGCAAGUCGAACGGUGAAGCGCCUUCCUUUUUGGUGGGUGUGGAUGAGUGGCGAACGGGUGAGUAACACGUGAGUAACCUGCCCCCUUCUCCUGGAUAACCGCAUGAAAGUGUGGCUAAUACGGGAUAUUCUGGGUCUGUCGCAUGAUGGGUCUGGGAAAGAUAUUGUUUCGGUGGGGGAUGGGCUCGCGGCCUAUCAGCUUGUUGGUGGGGUGAUGGCCUACCAAGGCGGUGACGGGUAGCCGGCCUGAGAGGGUGGACGGUCACACUGGGACUGAGACACGGCCCAGACUCCUACGGGAGGCAGCAGUGGGGAAUAUUGCACAAUGGGCGCAAGCCUGAUGCAGCGACGCCGCGUGAGGGAUGGAGGCCUUCGGGUUGUGAACCUCUUUCGCCAGUGAGGCAGGCCUGCCUCGUUUGUGGGUGGGUUGACGGUAGCUGGAUAAGAAGCGCCGGCUAACUACGUG
RNAcentral lists this ribosomal RNA (494 nucleotides) under uncultured bacterium. Its description in RNAcentral is "partial 16S ribosomal RNA". It matches the Rfam family "Bacterial small subunit ribosomal RNA", at positions 28 to 507 of the family's 1533-position model. The record is from RNAcentral.